This 145-nucleotide unclassified non-coding RNA is filed under the name soil metagenome. RNAcentral's name for it is "partial internal transcribed spacer 1". The record is from RNAcentral.
UAAUAAGUGUUUUAUGGCACUUUUUAAAUCCAUAUCCACCUUGUGUGCAAUGUCAGUCGAUCUUCUUCAUGGAGAUCGACCAAACAUCAACCUUUAUCUUUUAACUCUUUGUCUGAAAAAUAUUAUGAACAAACAAUUCAAAAUA